CCUACGGGAGGCAGCAGUGGGGAAUAUUGCACAAUGGGGGAAACCCUGAUGCAGCAACGCCGCGUGAGUGAAGAAGUAUUUCGGUAUGUAAAGCUCUAUCAGCAGGGAAGAAAAUGACGGUACCUGAGUAAGAAGCCCCGGCUAACUAUGUGCCAGCAGCCGCGGUAAUACGUAGGGGGCAAGCUUAAUCCGGAUUUACUGGUUGUAAAGGGAGCGUAGACGGCGAUACAAGUCUGAAGUGAAAGCCCGGGGCUCAACCCCGGGACUGCUUUGGAAACUGUGUUGAUGGAGUGCUGGAGAGGCAAGCGGAAUUCCUAGUGUAGCGGUGAAAUGCGUAGAUAUUAGGAAGAACACCAGUGGCGAAGGCGGCUUGCUGGACAGUAACUGACGUUGAGGCUCGAAAGCGUGGGGAGCAAACAGGAUUAGAUACCCGUGUAGUC
This 440-nucleotide ribosomal RNA is filed under the name uncultured bacterium. Its description in RNAcentral is "partial 16S ribosomal RNA". It matches the Rfam family "Bacterial small subunit ribosomal RNA", at positions 338 to 795 of the family's 1533-position model. The record is from RNAcentral.